This 72-nucleotide transfer RNA is filed under the name Bos taurus (domestic cattle). It matches the Rfam family "tRNA". From Rfam's summary of the family: Transfer RNA (tRNA) molecules are approximately 80 nucleotides in length. Their secondary structure includes four short double-helical elements and three loops (D, anti-codon, and T loops). RNAcentral also lists the same sequence under 5 other names. The record is from Rfam by way of RNAcentral. Lineage: Eukaryota; Metazoa; Chordata; Mammalia; Artiodactyla; Bovidae.
UCCCCGGUGCUCCAGUGGUUGAGAUUCUGUGCUCCCAACGCAGGGGCCCAGGUUCAAUCCCUGGUCAGGGAA